Molecule: non-coding RNA, 979 nt
Filed under: Pan troglodytes (chimpanzee)
Lineage: Eukaryota; Metazoa; Chordata; Mammalia; Primates; Hominidae
Source: RNAcentral
GGGGGAGAAUGGGCAUCCCACCCCAGCACUUUCUAGGAAGGAGGGCAGCAUUUUGAAGGGCUGGAAGUAGAGGAAGGAGGUUGCGGGUAGAAGACUCCAUACUUUCUGUGAUGCCUAUUCCUUAGCUUGAGAUGAAUGUUUUCUCAGUAUCCUAUGCUGAAAACAGGUAGAUACUAAUAUCGAUCUUCAAGGGAGGGCUGUUGAGUUUUGAAUAAGACAAAAACAUGGAAGCAAUCAGCACCAUGCUGCAGGAGGAAAAACAUCUGAAGAAUAUAUUUGUAGACUUCCUGGAAAUUGAUAAGUUGUCUCCAUAACUAAAGCAAGCAGAUUUUACUAAUUAGAAUUAUCUACAUAAUUUUACUUCAUUCACUUCUUUCUGUCAUACUAGGAGAGCCUUUAUAUAACCAAAGAUAUUUUUGGACCAUGAAUUCGGAAAUUCUCGGAGCCACCCAUCAGUGCCUGAGCUUCAGUGAGUCCAUAUCCCAUGUCACCCACGGCAAAGGAGAAUCUAAGACUUCUGAAGAGUUUCUUGCUUCUUUCCUGUGGGGCAGUGACUCCACUUCCCAGCAGUAAUGGAAUAUCCUGAAUUAGCUACAUUAAUGUUAGAACCAUUUGGACCUCACCCAGGACUUCAACUACAUUAUGCUAAAGUUACAGAACCCAAAUUUGGCAACUGUCUGCAUCUGAACAACAGAAGUUUCAACAUUCUGCCAACAGAGUAACUCCUGGACGAUUGGCACAGAAGGCACAAGGCAAAUACCUAUCUCUGUACACCCUGUGCUACUGUGUCAUGUGCUGCUCCAGGCAACUCCAAUGGAUUGGCCACCCUGGCCAAUGUGUUCUAGUAUGUUAGGUUUAUGUUCCCCUGCUUUCUACAAUCCUGUUCAAAGAGUUGCUGACUUAACCACAGAGAGGAUUCCAGAACAUGAGACACAGAAUAAACUUGAGCAAUCAUAGUCCAUCCACUUCAUUUUCUCAU